RNAcentral lists this ribosomal RNA (1566 nucleotides) under Elephantulus fuscus (Dusky elephant shrew). RNAcentral describes it as "16S ribosomal RNA". It matches the Rfam family "Bacterial large subunit ribosomal RNA". The record is from RNAcentral. Lineage: Eukaryota; Metazoa; Chordata; Mammalia; Macroscelidea; Macroscelididae.
GAACCAGACCUAGCCCUAAACAACUUAAAUUAAAUUAUAUUUAAUCCUAAAAUAAAACAUUUAUUAAUUAAAGUAUAGGAGAUAGAAAUAUUACACAAGGAGCAAUAGAGCUAGUACCGUAAGGGAAAGAUGAAAGAUUACUAAAAGUAAAAAACAGCAGAGAUUACCCCUCCUACCUUUUGCAUAAUGGAUUAGCAAGAAAACAUUUGACAAAGAGAUCUGAAAGCCAAAAACCCCGAAACCAGACGAGCUACUUACGAACAAUUAUCAGAAUGAACUCCUCUAUGUGGCAAAAUAGUGAGAUGAUUUGUAAGUAGAGGUGAAAAGCCUACCGAGCCUGGUGAUAGCUGGUUGUCCAAAAAAAGAAUCUAAGUUCAUCCUUAAGCACUGCCCACAAAACAAUUAAUUAUAAUGCAGACUUUAGAGAAACUCAAUAGAGGGACAGCUCUAUUGAUAAAGGAUACAACCUGAAAAGGAGAGUAAGAUACCCAGAUUAACAUAGUUGGCCUAAAAGCAGCCAUCAAUUAAGAAAGCGUUAAAGCUCAAUCUUUAUAACAUAUUUAAUCCCAAAAAUACUCGACGACCUCCCUUAUCUAAUAUUGGACUAUUCUAUAUAAAUAUAGAAGCAACAAUGCUAGUAUGAGUAACAAGAAACAAUUCUCCGCGCGCAAGCUUAUAUCAGAACGGAUGCCCACUGAUAGUUAACGACAUAAUAAUUAUAUCCCACAAAUAAACAUACCCUUAUUAAGCCAAAUCGUUAACCCAACACAGGAGCGCUACACGGAAAGAUUAAAAGAAAAAGAAGGAACUCGGCAAACACGAACUCCGCCUGUUUACCAAAAACAUCACCUCUAGCAUAACAAGUAUUAGAGGCACUGCCUGCCCAGUGACACUAGUUAAACGGCCGCGGUACUCUGACCGUGCAAAGGUAGCAUAAUCAUUUGUUCUUUAAUUAAGGACUUGUAUGAAUGGCUAGACGAGAGUUCAACUGUCUCCUUAUUCUAAUCAGUGAAAUUGACCUCUCCGUGAAGAGGCGGAGAUGAAACUAUAAGACGAGAAGACCCUAUGGAGCUUCAAUUUAUUUAUCUAAAAGUUACCCUAUUAAUCCUACAGGAACAUCACUUAACUUGCUAGAUAAAAAAUUUUGGUUGGGGUGACCUCGGAGCAAAAAACAACCUCCGAAUGAUAUUUUGCCAUGACAUAAACCAGUCUAAGCUUAAAAUCCAAUUGACCCAAUAUAUUGAUCAACGGAACAAGUUACCCUAGGGAUAACAGCGCAAUCCUAUUCUAGAGUCCAUAUCGACAAUAGGGUUUACGACCUCGAUGUUGGAUCAGGACACCCCAAUGGUGCAGCAGCUAUUAAAGGUUCGUUUGUUCAACGAUUAAAGUCCUACGUGAUCUGAGUUCAGACCGGAGUAAUCCAGGUCGGUUUCUAUCUAUACUCAACUUCUCCCAGUACGAAAGGAUCAGAGAAGUGGAGCCUACUUUACAAAAGCGCUCCUAUCUUCAUUUAUGAAAUAAUCUUAAUAAAGAAACAUAAAACACUCUAGCCCAAGACCAGGGCAC